Molecule: ribosomal RNA, 254 nt
Filed under: uncultured bacterium
Lineage: Bacteria
Description: partial 16S ribosomal RNA
Rfam family: Bacterial small subunit ribosomal RNA
Source: RNAcentral
UACGUAGGGGGCGAGCGUUGUCCGGGUUUAUUGGGCGUAAAGAGCUCGUAGGCGGCUUAGCAAGUCGGGUGUGAAAACUCCAGGCUCAACCUGGAGACGCCACUCGAGACUGCUAUGGCUAGAGUCCGGUAGGGGACCACGGAAUUCCUGGUGUAGCGGUGAAAUGCGCAGAUAUCAUCAGGAACACCGGUGGCGAAAGCGGCCCACUGGGUCUUAUCUGACGCUGAGGGACGAAAGCUAGGGGAGCGAACGGG